GACGAGCGCUUGCGGCGUGCUUAACACAUGCAAGUCGAACGGAAAGGCCCUGCUUUUGUGGGGUGCUCGAGUGGCGAACGGGUGAGUAACACGUGAGUAACCUGCCCUUGACUUUGGGAUAACUUCAGGAAACUGGGGCUAAUACCGGAUAGGAGCUCCUGCUGCAUGGUGGGGGUUGGAAAGUUUCGGCGGUUGGGGAUGGACUCGCGGCUUAUCAGCUUGUUGGUGGGGUAGUGGCUUACCAAGGCUUUGACGGGUAGCCGGCCUGAGAGGGUGACCGGCCACAUUGGGACUGAGAUACGGCCCAGACUCCUACGGGAGGCAGCAGUGGGGAAUAUUGCACAAUGGGCGGAAGCCUGAUGCAGCAACGCCGCGUGCGGGAUGACGGCCUUCGGGUUGUAAACCGCUUUCGCCUGUGACGAAGCGUGAGUGACGGUAAUGGGUAAAGAAGCACCGGCUAACUACGUGCCAGCAGCCGCGGUGAUACGUAGGGUGCGAGCGUUGUCCGGAUUUAUUGGGCGUAAAGGGCUCGUAGGUGGUUGAUCGCGUCGGAAGUGUAAUCUUGGGGCUUAACCCUGAGCGUGCUUUCGAUACGGGUUGACUUGAGGAAGGUAGGGGAGAAUGGAAUUCCUGGUGGAGCGGUGGAAUGCGCAGAUAUCAGGAGGAACACCAGUGGCGAAGGCGGUUCUCUGGGCCUUUCCUGACGCUGAGGAGCGAAAGCGUGGGGAGCGAACAGGCUUAGAUACCCUGGUAGUCCACGCUGUAAACGGUGGGUACUAGGUGUGGGGUCCAUUCCACGGGUUCCGUGCCGUAGCUAACGCUUUAAGUACCCCGCCUGGGGAGUACGGCCGCAAGGCUAAAACUCAAAGGAAUUGACGGGGCCCCGCACAAGCGGCGGAGCAUGCGGAUUAAUUCGAUGCAACGCGUAGAACCUUACCUGGGUUUGACAUGGAUCGGGAGUGCUCAGAGAUGGGUGUGCCUCUUUUGGGGUCGGUUCACAGGUGGUGCAUGCCUGUCGUCAGCUCGUGUCGUGAGAUGUUGGGUUAAGUCCCGCAACGAGCGCAACCCUUGUUCACUGUUGCCAGCACGUUAUGGUGGGGACUCAGUGGAGACCGCCGGGGUCAACUCGGAGGAAGGUGGGGAUGACGUCAAGUCCUCAUGCCCCUUAUGUCCAGGGCUUCACGCAUGCUACAAUGGCUGGUACAGAGAGUGGCGAGCCUGUGAGGGUGAGCGAAUCUCGGAAAGCCGGUCUCAGUUCGGAUUGGGGUCUGCAACUCGACCUCAUGAAGUCGGAGUCGCUAGUAAUCGCAGAUCAGCAACGCUGCGGUGAAUACGUUCCCGGGGCC
This 1346-nucleotide ribosomal RNA is filed under the name uncultured bacterium. RNAcentral describes it as "bacterial SSU rRNA". It matches the Rfam family "Bacterial small subunit ribosomal RNA", at positions 28 to 1381 of the family's 1533-position model. The record is from RNAcentral.